Long non-coding RNA from Ailuropoda melanoleuca (giant panda), 382 nucleotides. RefSeq lists it as uncharacterized. The record is from RefSeq and is a predicted model, not a curated record. The transcript is spliced from 3 exons. Lineage: Eukaryota; Metazoa; Chordata; Mammalia; Carnivora; Ursidae.
UAACAGUGGUAUCCUGGAGCCAGCUUGCACAGGCUAAGAAGAGCCAAUUGUGAGCAUCUCUUCGCAACUCUGCAAUCAGUGACAUCACAUUGAUAGACUGAAAUCAGCUGUCAUGGGAAUAUGUUCAACAAGCUGUCAGAGACCAACAUGACUACCACAAAGACCCAGGAGCUUGAAACAAUGGAAGCAGAAGCAGGCCUUCAAAGACCACUCAACUCAUGUGGUUUCAGUAGGAAAGCUGGAUUGUGAGCCACGCUCCUCCUCCAUUCAACUGGCUUCAUAAUAACUUCAGCAGAAUGGAGUCCAUGGAGACUGUGCAAAUUCAGGUAACAAAGAAUCCUUUACUUCCGUCCGGGCUUUUCCCCGAACAGAUAGUGCAACA